Molecule: ribosomal RNA, 1059 nt
Filed under: Daldinia concentrica
Lineage: Eukaryota; Fungi; Ascomycota; Sordariomycetes; Xylariales; Hypoxylaceae
Description: SSU rRNA
Rfam family: Eukaryotic small subunit ribosomal RNA
Source: RNAcentral
AAGUUAAGCCAUGCAUGUCUAAGUAUAAGCAAUUAUACUGCGAAACUGCGAAUGGCUCAUUAAAUCAGUUAUCGUUUAUUUGUUAGUACCUUACUACUUGGAUAACCGUGGUAAUUCUAGAGCUAAUACAUGCUAAAAACCCCGACUCACGGAGGGGUGUAUUUAUUAGAUUAAAAACCAAUGNCCUUCGGGGCUCUUUGGUGAUUCAUAAUAACUUCUCGAAUCGCAUGGCCUUGCGCNGGCGAUGGUUCAUUCAAAUUUCUGCCCUAUCAACUUUCGAUGGCAGGGUCUUGGCCUGCCAUGGUUACAACGGGUAACGGAGGGUUAGGGCUCGACCCCGGAGAAGGAGCCUGAGAAACGGCUACUACAUCCAAGGAAGGCAGCAGGCGCGCAAAUUACCCAAUCCCGAUACGGGGAGGUAGUGACAAUAAAUACUGAUACAGGGCUCUUUUGGGUCUUGUAAUUGGAAUGAGUACAAUUUAAAUCCCUUAACGAGGAACAAUUGGAGGGCAAGUCUGGUGCCAGCAGCCGCGGUAAUUCCAGCUCCAAUAGCGUAUAUUAAAGUUGUUGACGUUAAAAAGCUCGUAGUUGAACCUUGGGCCUGGCUGGCUGGUCCGCCUCACCGCGUGCACUGGUUCGGCCGGGCCUUUCCCUCUGGGGAACCCCAUGCCCUUCACUGGGUGUGGUGGGGAACCAGGACUUUUACUGUGAAAAAAUUAGAGUGUUCAAAGCAGGCCUAUGCUCGAAUACAUCAGCAUGGAAUAAUAGAAUAGGACGUGCGGUUCUAUUUUGUUGGUUUCUAGGACCGCCGUAAUGAUUAAUAGGGACAGUCGGGGGCAUCAGUAUUCAAUUGUCAGAGGUGAAAUUCUUGGAUUUAUUGAAGACUAACUACUGCGAAAGCAUUUGCCAAGGAUGUUUUCAUUAAUCAGGAACGAAAGUUAGGGGAUCGAAGACGAUCAGAUACCGUCGUAGUCUUAACCAUAAACUAUGCCGACUAGGGAUCGGACGAUGUUAUUUUUUGACUCGUUCGGCACCUUACGAGAAAUCAAAGUCUUUGGG